UACGAGGGCCUCAAGCGUUAUCCGGAAUCAUUGGGCGUAAAGGAUGCGUAGGUGGUCAUAUUAGUCUCUUGUUAAAUUCUUCGGCUUAACCGGGGGCAUGCAAGGGAAACGGUAUGACUUGAGGAUGCGAGGGGUCUGCGGAACUCAUAGUGUAGCGGUGAAAUGCGUUGAUAUUAUGGGGAACACCAGAAGCGAAGGCAGCAGACUGGAGCACUCCUGACACUGAAACAUGAAAGCGUGGGUCGCGAAUGGG
This 253-nucleotide ribosomal RNA is filed under the name uncultured bacterium. Its description in RNAcentral is "partial 16S ribosomal RNA". It matches the Rfam family "Bacterial small subunit ribosomal RNA", at positions 524 to 776 of the family's 1533-position model. The record is from RNAcentral.